UACGAAGGGGGCUAGCGUUGUUCGGAAUUACUGGGCGUAAAGCGUGCGCAGGCGGUCUUCCAAGUCAGUGGUGAAAGCCCGGAGCUCAACUCCGGAACUGCCAUUGAAACUGUGAGACUCGAGUACGAGAGAGGUGAGUGGAAUUCCCAGUGUAGAGGUGAAAUUCGUAGAUAUUGGGAAGAACACCGGUGGCGAAGGCGGCUCACUGGCUCGUAACUGACGCUCAGGCACGACAGCGUGGGGAUCAAACAGG
RNAcentral lists this ribosomal RNA (253 nucleotides) under uncultured bacterium. RNAcentral's name for it is "partial 16S ribosomal RNA". It matches the Rfam family "Bacterial small subunit ribosomal RNA", at positions 524 to 776 of the family's 1533-position model. The record is from RNAcentral.